RNAcentral lists this ribosomal RNA (1002 nucleotides) under uncultured bacterium. Its description in RNAcentral is "bacterial SSU rRNA". It matches the Rfam family "Bacterial small subunit ribosomal RNA", at positions 356 to 1376 of the family's 1533-position model. The record is from RNAcentral.
GGGGAAUAUUGCACAAUGGGCGAAAGCCUGAUGCAGCGACGCCGCGUGAGCGAAGAAGUAUUUCGGUAUGUAAAGCUCUAUCAGCAGGGAAGAUAAUGACGGUACCUGACUAAGAAGCACCGGCUAAAUACGUGCCAGCAGCCGCGGUAAUACGUAUGGUGCAAGCGUUAUCCGGAUUUACUGGGUGUAAAGGGAGCGCAGGCGGUGCGGCAAGUCUGAUGUGAAAGCCCGGGGCUCAACCCCGGUACUGCAUUGGAAACUGUCGUACUAGAGUGUCGGAGGGGUAAGCGGAAUUCCUAGUGUAGCGGUGAAAUGCGUAGAUAUUAGGAGGAACACCAGUGGCGAAGGCGACCUACUGGGCACCAACUGACGCUGAGGCUCGAAAGCAUGGGUAGCAAACAGGAUUAGAUACCCUGGUAGUCCAUGCCGUAAACGAUGAUUACUAGGUGUUGGAGGAUUGACCCCUUCAGUGCCGCAGUUAACACAAUAAGUAAUCCACCUGGGGAGUACGACCGCAAGGUUGAAACUCAAAGGAAUUGACGGGGGCCCGCACAAGCAGUGGAGUAUGUGGUUUAAUUCGAAGCAACGCGAAGAACCUUACCAAAUCUUGACAUCCCUCUGACCGGCGAGUAAUGUCGCCUUUCCUUCGGGACAGAGGAGACAGGUGGUGCAUGGUUGUCGUCAGCUCGUGUCGUGAGAUGUUGGGUUAAGUCCCGCAACGAGCGCAACCCUUAUCCUAAGUAGCCAGCAGUUCGGCUGGGCACUCUUGGGAGACUGCCAGGGAUAACCUGGAGGAAGGUGGGGAUGACGUCAAAUCAUCAUGCCCCUUAUGAUUUGGGCUACACACGUGCUACAAUGGCGUAAACAAAGGGAAGCGAUCACGCGAGUGUGAGCAAAUCUCAAAAAUAACGUCUCAGUUCGGAUUGUAGUCUGCAACUCGACUACAUGAAGCUGGAAUCGCUAGUAAUCGCAGGUCAGCAUACUGCGGUGAAUACGUUCCCG